Molecule: long non-coding RNA, 473 nt
Organism: Diceros bicornis minor
Lineage: Eukaryota; Metazoa; Chordata; Mammalia; Perissodactyla; Rhinocerotidae
Exons: 2
Source: RefSeq, a predicted model, not a curated record
AGGGUGGAGUGGCAUUGGUACCAGUUGACUCGAGUCAGAUAUCCAGUGUCGGAGGCGAGUGGUGCUGGAGAGAAAUGCGGUGAGGGGACUAUGGCCUCACUGACACUGUCCUCGACCCUGACAGGAGGGGCCUUCCACGUUUGCCCCCCGGAAAUCAACCCCCAGAGGGUGCAGGAGAAGGAGCAGCAGCAGCAGCAGCCCCCAGGCCCCAAUACCGAGCCCCAUACCAGUGGCCGAUCACAGCCCCAUCCUCAGCAGCCGGGACACAGCUGGGAAGCUUGCGAUGCACCGGGCCAGCUCCUCCCACCUGACAGGAAGGGGAGCAUUGUAAGCUGAUUCCUGGAGUCCCCUGAAGCCCAAGAGAGAGAGGACGACCCCAUCUCAGCUCCCUGACAUCCCCCAGCACCUAUGAACCCAUUGGGGAGGGACAGUAGUUAUUUGUUGUAAAUAAUAAAUGCCAUGUUUGAAUAUUA